AUUGAUUUAGUGAGCUCACUACUUAAUAUUCUUAAUGAAAUAAAAAAAGAAAAUGUCAAGCGCUUUGUAUGUAGUGAGGGUAUUAUUUUGCAAUGCUCUUGUUACAGUUUUCAAAAUAUAUAUGUUGUAUAAUGAGUAGCAAUGUACAGUGUGUUUGUUUUUAAUCCGGGUCUUGGUCAGAAAGUUUAAGAGCUACCGCCCUGUGUAGAAAUCCUGGAAGCAGCACUGACAGAGGCUGGGGUGUGCAGAUCCCUUUUUCUUCCAGGAGGCUCAGCUCCCAAGAAUGUAAGUGGCAAGAAUUCCAGGAUGCCUCUCUGCUGUCCUCAGACCUCCCUUCCCUGGCCCUGCAGCCCACUUCGCUCAGGGCUGUCGAGCCCCACAGUCAGCCACCCCACCCCAGGGCCCAGGGUCCACUCUCUGCCCAGCCCAGCCCGGGCCCAGCCCUGCUUCUUCACAUUCUUCACAGCGCGACCCACAUCUCCCUGGGGACCUCUCUCGAAGCCCUCUGGCCUUGGCCUCACAUGUUAACAUGCGGAGCUCAGCAAAGCAGUCCUCAGAUGUUUAAGUGUCUACUAUGUGCCGGGCACCAGGGUUCCAGGGUGAAGCAGAGAUCCAAGACCCCUGCACUUAAUGGUGGUUGUACAUGAAAUCGGUUUGGAUCGGAGAAAUGCUGUGAGGAUCAGGACGCAGACAGAGAGCACCUGGGGGCCCCUCGGAGGAGGCAGCCUCUGACUCAGACCUAAACGGUAGCAAGGUGUGAGCAGUGGCGUCUGGGAGGAUUUCAACCAGAAGGAACAACCCGUGUAAAGACCAGAGAUAGGAAUAAACUUGCUGUGUUCAAGGAACAGAAGAAUGGCCUGAUGGCUGGCGGGGGGGUGGGGGGGGAGGGAAGUGGAGCUGUUUGGUCGUGACAUGGCCUGGAGCAAGCGGGACGCUGCAGGCUGGCUGGACAGCGUGUGGGGCCAGCAUCCAGGCCCCAGUCCCACAGUUCACCUUCUUGGGGAAGCUCCUGAACCCGGGCGAGGAUGAGAGUGACAGCAUCCACCUCCGGGUCAGGAUCAAAGUUGUGGCCAGGGCUUGGCCCACAGUAGACACUCAGUUGUUCUACCAUUAUUAUGAUGAUUGGCUUGGGAGGGUAGAAGGGUGAUGCCCCUGUGUUAGAACGACCCCCUGGGAGGUCACAGACGGUGAUGGGAAGGCAGCGGCGGCGGGGGGAGGGGGGGCAUUGGUCGGUCUUGGCAAUGCUGGGUUGGCGUUGCCUCUUAGACGCUGAGCAGACGCCACUGAGAACAGGAGCCCCAUCAGCCUGUUGCUGCUCCCAAGGACAACUGGGGCGGCUGGGGUCCGUGGUAUUUUAAGCCAAGGCCGAGCCUGGGCCCUGCAAGAGGUGUGCACGUGGCGGCUGGAGGAGGGUGCGAGGAGCCAGCCGGAUGGGGGCCUUUGGGCCUGGAGGACUCGAGGAGGAAGGCAGGGGUGAGGAGCCAGGGCCCCCUUCGGAGCCCAGGAGCCCUGGAGAGGAGCCCUCGGGGGGGGGCUGGGGAGAGGAUGGGAGGUGAUGCUCAGUCAGCCCCUUCAAGAAGGGCUUCCGCACUUUACAGUUUAUAAACCCUUAACGUCCACGCCGCGGUUCGUCUUCACAGCAUGCCCACAAAUUGGGUGUUAUUCCUCCCCGUCUUAGGGAUGUGACUCAGAGAAGUCAAGGCAUUUUCCCAUGGCCGCACAGCACCGAAGUAAAACAUUCUCAGGCUUCCUGGAUUCACAGGCCCUUUUGGGGACCUUAUGAAUGCUCUAAGCCUUCUCAGAAAAAUACACAUAUGUAUGCACUAAUUUUAAAGCCUUCUAUGUGUCUUUUUUUUU
This 1857-nucleotide long non-coding RNA is filed under the name Zalophus californianus (California sea lion). RNAcentral describes it as "lncRNA (ENSZCAG00015013957.1)". The record is from RNAcentral. Lineage: Eukaryota; Metazoa; Chordata; Mammalia; Carnivora; Otariidae.